RNAcentral lists this ribosomal RNA (671 nucleotides) under uncultured yard-trimming-compost bacterium. RNAcentral describes it as "bacterial SSU rRNA". It matches the Rfam family "Bacterial small subunit ribosomal RNA", at positions 37 to 688 of the family's 1533-position model. The record is from RNAcentral.
UGGCGGCGUGCCUAAUACAUGCAAGUCGAGCGGAUCGAAUGGAAGCUUGCUUCCGUUCGGUUAGCGGCGGACGGGUGAGUAACACGUGGGCAACCUGCCCGUAAGACCGGGAUAACUUCGGGAAACCGGAGCUAAUACCGGAUAACACCGAAGACCGCAUGGUCUUCGGUUGAAAGGCGGCUUUGGCUGUCACUUACGGAUGGGCCCGCGGCGCAUUAGCUAGUUGGUGAGGUAACGGCUCACCAAGGCGACGAUGCGUAGCCGACCUGAGAGGGUGAUCGGCCACACUGGGACUGAGACACGGCCCAGACUCCUACGGGAGGCAGCAGUAGGGAAUCUUCCGCAAUGGACGAAAGUCUGACGGAGCAACGCCGCGUGAGCGAAGAAGGUCUUCGGAUUGUAAAGCUCUGUUGUUAGGGAAGAAUAAGUACCGUUCGAAUAGGGCGGUACCGUGACGGUACCUAACGAGAAAGCCACGGCUAACUACGUGCCAGCAGCCGCGGUAAUACGUAGGUGGCAAGCGUUGUCCGGAAUUAUUGGGCGUAAAGCGCGCGCAGGCGGUCCUUUAAGUCUGAUGUGAAAGCCCACGGCUCAACCGUGGAGGGUCAUUGGAAACUGGAGGACUUGAGUGCAGAAGAGGAGAGCGGAAUUCCACGUGUAGCGGUGAAAUG